Molecule: long non-coding RNA, 564 nt
Organism: Erinaceus europaeus (western European hedgehog)
Lineage: Eukaryota; Metazoa; Chordata; Mammalia; Eulipotyphla; Erinaceidae
Exons: 2
Source: RefSeq, a predicted model, not a curated record
CAGGAAGGGGACAUGCAGAAAGAGGCCAGUGGAAGAGGAAAGGCAUAUAGGAGUCAGGUGGUAGCACACUUGGUCAAGCAUGAUGUUACCAUGAGCAAGGGCCAGGGUUCAAGCCCCUGGUUCCACCUGCAGUCACCAAGUUGCAGAUGCUGCCAUGACACCAACCUAAAUUCCCUGGGCAGCCAACCUCACCAAUAUGUCCUGGAAGUCCCCCUCCCCAGAGCCCUGCACCACUAGGGAAAGAUAGAAACAGGCUGGGGUUGUAGAUCGACCUGUCAAUGCCCAUGUCCAGUGGAGAAGCAAUUACAGAAGCCAGACCUUCCAUCUUCUGCAUCCCAUAAAGAUCUUUGGUUCAUACUCCCAGAGGGAUAAAGAAUAGGGAACUUUCCAGUGGAAAGUUGGAGGGGAUGGGAUACGGAACUCUGGUGGUGGAAUUGUACUCCUCUUAUCCCACAAUCUUGUCAAUCAAUAUUAAAUCACUAAUAAAAUAAAAUUAAAAAAUAAGAGAUUAAAAAAACACUGUUGACUGUAAACCAUUAAUCCCCACAAUAAAAAAUAAAUAAA